GUGUGGCUCAGUGGUAGAGCACUUGCCUAGUAUGCAUGUGUCCCUGAGUUCAAUCCCCAGCAC
RNAcentral lists this transfer RNA (63 nucleotides) under Heterocephalus glaber (naked mole-rat). It matches the Rfam family "tRNA", at positions 5 to 66 of the family's 71-position model. From Rfam's summary of the family: Transfer RNA (tRNA) molecules are approximately 80 nucleotides in length. Their secondary structure includes four short double-helical elements and three loops (D, anti-codon, and T loops). Further hydrogen bonds mediate the characteristic L-shaped molecular structure. tRNAs have two regions of fundamental functional importance: the anti-codon, which is responsible for specific mRNA codon recognition, and the 3' end, to which the tRNAs corresponding amino acid is attached (by aminoacyl-tRNA synthetases). tRNAs cope with the degeneracy of the genetic code in two manners: having more than one tRNA (with a specific anti-codon) for a particular amino acid; and 'wobble' base-pairing, i.e. permitting non-standard base-pairing at the 3rd anti-codon position. Lineage: Eukaryota; Metazoa; Chordata; Mammalia; Rodentia; Bathyergidae. The record is from Rfam by way of RNAcentral.